RNAcentral lists this long non-coding RNA (1678 nucleotides) under Gossypium barbadense (sea-island cotton). RNAcentral describes it as "long non-coding RNA (GBAR_LNC005780)". The record is from RNAcentral. Lineage: Eukaryota; Viridiplantae; Streptophyta; Magnoliopsida; Malvales; Malvaceae.
UUCAUCCUUGACCAUUUAAUCAACCAUUCAUCAUCAAAUACUUACACAUCAUUCUAUAGUAAAAUCAUAUUUACAAAUAUACAAAAUUACUAAAUUCCUAUACAUGCCAUAACUAAAAGAAAUGUUCACCACCACAAUUAGCUCAGAAUCGGCUUUGGAUGCUGAUUCAACAAUCCGACUUUGACCUAACCUGCGCACGGAAACAACCGUACGCUGAGUAUGGAAAUACUCAGUGGUAUUACCAUAAUUCGAAUUAAUAACAUUAAUCGAUAAAUUAUAUACAUUUUAUUUAUGUCUACAAUUAUUCAUUAAUUAUCUCAUGCAUUAAUUCAACUUGAUAAUUAAUAACAAUAAGCUAUAAUUCAAAUCUUGUAUUUAAUUGUAUUCAUACCUUAUUUCACUAUCUCAAUUCCAUUGGAUUUUUCUUUACAUCUCAUUCCAAUAGUUCAUUUCAAUUCAUAUACAAUUCAUUUCAUUUAAUUUAUAUUCAAUAUAAAUUUUAUUACAAUUUGUACUCACUAAUAUCAUAUAACAAAAUUUACUCUUUAUCACAUCAUGAACUUUGGGCUCAUAUCUUUAAAUCUCUUAUUUCGAUUUCCAAUUCACACAUCAAUUCACAACUUCACUUGUUUUCACACUUUAUUUCUUAACAAUAUACCAUUUUAAUUCAUUUUAACAUCAAUCAUCAUCCAUUUGAACUUCACUCAUUUCAUGAACCUUUUGGUUCAUGUUUUCAAUCUCAUAUCUCAAUUUAAUAUCUCAUUUAUUCAAUUCAUAUUUUAAUUCAUUCAAUUAAAUAUUGGUAUUCUCCUUAUUUUUAUUUACUAAACAUAUUAUUCAAAAUUCAACAAUUACUAUCAAUAAAUUCAAUAUCAAUACGUAUAUAUAUAUUUCAUUCGAUUCAAUCAUGAUACUCACCUCAAUUUUCUUAUCAUGUAUAUUAAUUUAAAUUUUAACAAUUAAUAAUUAAAUUCGAAUUAUAGUAAUACUAACCGUAAUUUCUCUCGAGUCACUCCUUGUCCACUUUCUCCUUUCCUUUCUCGGACAAUGACUCGUACACGACAUUAGCUACGUAAUUAAAUAAUUAAAAAUCAUUAAUACACAAUUUCAUUAAAAUAUUUCCUUUUAUACCUAAACUUUAUAAUUAUCCCUUACCAAUACUAAUUUUAUUUUUCCCAAUCUAACUCUAUAUUCUCUCUUAAUUCUUACUAUAAAGUCAAUUUAAUUCCUCAAUUUCACCAUAAAUCCCUAAUUUCGGGAUUCUUUCAAUUUAAUCCCUAUCGAUUCAAAACUUAUAUUUUAUUUUACAAUUCAAUCCUUUAUUCAAUUCCAAUCAAAAUUUCUAUCAAAUACAUCCCUAAUUUAACAAUUUAUUCAACAUGAACCAUGCUUAAUAAUCUACUAACUUUCAAAAUUUCAACUUAAAUCAAGUAGUAUUUUAUUCUAGGAUUUCAAAAAAAAAUAUCAAAAUUAAGAGAAAAGGGGAUUAAAUUGACUUACCAAAUUACUUUGAACCUUAAAACCCCAAAUUUCCCUUUUUCUUUUCUUUUCUUUCUUUCUUUCCUUCCUUCCUUCUCUGUUUCGUUUUGCUCUCUGUUUCUUUCUUUCUCCCUUCUCUGUUUUGUUUUGUUUUGCUCUCUGUUUCUUUUCUUUGUCAUAUAUAUAUAUAUAAUAUAAU